Anthonomus grandis grandis is the source of this 811-nucleotide long non-coding RNA. RefSeq lists it as uncharacterized. NCBI's taxonomy places the organism in Eukaryota, Metazoa, Arthropoda, Insecta, Coleoptera, Curculionidae. The transcript has 3 exons. The record is from RefSeq and is a predicted model, not a curated record.
UUGUAUCUACAGCCGUUUUGGAGUUAUUCAACUGUUUUUCGGUACAUUAAAAAAAAUCUUGAUACAGUCAAAGGCUUCACAAAAAUCCCAAUAUCUUUGAAACUACUGUAAGGAUUUUAUUGAUUUUAGUUUCAUAUGAAAGCCAUUGAGUUUCUUUACCAAAAAGGUCCUUACAAGUUUCCUUGUAUCUACAGCCCUUUUGGAGUUAUUCAAGUGUUUUUCGGUACAUUAAAAAAAAUCUUGAUACAGUCAAAGGCUUCACAAAAAUCCCAAUAUCUUUGAAACUACUGUAAGGAUUUUAUUGAUUUUAGUUUCAUAUGAAAGCCAUUGAGUUUCUUUACCAAAAAGGUGCUUAUAAGUUUCCUUGCAUCUACAGCCCUUUUGGAGUUAUUCAACUGUUUUUCGGUACAUUAAAAAAAUCUUGAUACAGUCAAAGGCUUUACAAAAAUCCCAAUAUCUUUGAAACUACUGUAAGGAUUUUAUUGAUUUUAGUUUCAUAUGAAAGCCAGUGAGUUUCUUUACCAAAAAGGUCCUUACAAGUUUCCUUGUAUCUACAGCCCUUUUGGAGUUAUUCAACUGUUUUUCGGUACAUUAAAAAAAAUCUUGAUACAGUCAAAGGCUUCACAAAAAUCCCAAUAUCUUUGAAACUACUGUAAGGAUUUUAUUGAUUUUAGUUUCAUAUGAAAGCCAGUGAGUUUCUUUACCAAAAAGGUCCUUACAAGUUUCCUUGUAUCUACAGCCCUUUUGGAGUUAUUCAACUGUUUUUCAGUACAUUAAAAAAAAUCUUGAUACAGUCAAAGGCUUUACAAAA